UCCUACGGGACGCAGCAGUGAGGAAUAUUGGUCAAUGGGCGGGAGCCUGAACCAGCCAAGUCGCGUGAGGGAAGACGGUCCUAUGGAUUGUAAACCUCUUUAGGCGGGGAGCAAUGCCGGGCACGCGUGCCCGGAGGGAGAGUACCCGCAGAAUAAGCAUCGGCUAACUCCGUGCCAGCAGCCGCGGUAAUACGGAGGAUGCGAGCGUUAUCCGGAUUUAUUGGGUUUAAAGGGUGCGUAGGCGGAACAUUAAGUCAGCGGUAAAAUCGAGGGGCUCAACCCCUUUAAGCCGUUGAAACUGGUGA
Molecule: ribosomal RNA, 305 nt
Filed under: uncultured bacterium
Lineage: Bacteria
Description: bacterial SSU rRNA
Rfam family: Bacterial small subunit ribosomal RNA
Source: RNAcentral